AUGGGAUGGUGUUUUUCUUCUAUUGAAAGAGAGAGAUCCCUUGCUUUUCUUUCUUUCUUUCACUUGCAACAAACAAUGCUCAUUCUUGAUUCACUCAUGCAUACAUCUCUCUCUCUCUUUCAUCUUCAUGCUGCACAGGACAGCACCCAUGGUUGUGCUACCAACCUUCUGCUCGGCUCAAUCAGUGUUAUUUUUGUUUCUUUGAAUAGAAUCAAAUAUGUUCACAACCACCACCCUGACACAGCUUAUGCCACUCUACCUAGCUGCUAUUCCCUCUUUAUUUUAUCCACAUCACCCUGA
Molecule: ribosomal RNA, 300 nt
Filed under: Triticum aestivum (bread wheat)
Lineage: Eukaryota; Viridiplantae; Streptophyta; Magnoliopsida; Poales; Poaceae
Description: partial small subunit ribosomal RNA
Source: RNAcentral